AUACGGAGGGUGCAAGCGUUACUCGGAAUCACUGGGCGUAAAGCGCGCGCAGGCGGCUUGAUAAGUUGGAUGUGAAAGCCUACGGCUCAACCGUAGAACUGCAUCCAAAACUGUCAAACUAGAGUCUGGGAGGGGAAGAUGGAAUUAGUUGUGUAGGGGUAAAAUCCGUAGAGAUAACUAGGAAUACCAAAAGCGAAGGCGAUCUUCUGGAACAGUACUGACGCUGAGGCGCGAAAGCGUGGGGAGCAAACAGGAUUAGAUACCCCUGUAGUCC
This 274-nucleotide ribosomal RNA is filed under the name uncultured bacterium. RNAcentral's name for it is "partial 16S ribosomal RNA". It matches the Rfam family "Bacterial small subunit ribosomal RNA", at positions 523 to 796 of the family's 1533-position model. The record is from RNAcentral.